UACGAAGGGGGCUAGCGUUGCUCGGAAUUACUGGGCGUAAAGGGAGCGUAGGCGGACAGUUUAGUCAGAGGUGAAAGCCCAGGGCUCAACCUUGGAAUUGCCUUUGAUACUGGCUGUCUUGAGUAUGGGAGAGGUGUGUGGAACUCCGAGUGUAGAGGUGAAAUUCGUAGAUAUUCGGAAGAACACCAGUGGCGAAGGCGACACACUGGCCCAUUACUGACGCUGAGGCUCGAAAGCGUGGGGAGCAAACAGG
RNAcentral lists this ribosomal RNA (253 nucleotides) under uncultured bacterium. Its description in RNAcentral is "partial 16S ribosomal RNA". It matches the Rfam family "Bacterial small subunit ribosomal RNA", at positions 524 to 776 of the family's 1533-position model. The record is from RNAcentral.